UACGUAGGGGGCGAGCGUUGUCCGGAUUUAUUGGGCGUAAAGAGCUCGUAGGCGGCUUGGCAAGUCGGGUGUGAAACCUCCAGGCUCAACCUGGAGACGCCACUCGAUACUGCCAUGGCUAGAGUCCGGUAGGGGACCACGGAAUUCCUGGUGUAGCGGUGAAAUGCGCAGAUAUCAGGAGGUACACCGAUGGCGAAGGCAGGUCUCUGGGCAUUAACUGACGCUGAGGAGCGAAAGCAUGGGGAGCGAACAGG
This 254-nucleotide ribosomal RNA is filed under the name uncultured bacterium. RNAcentral describes it as "partial 16S ribosomal RNA". It matches the Rfam family "Bacterial small subunit ribosomal RNA", at positions 524 to 776 of the family's 1533-position model. The record is from RNAcentral.